RNAcentral lists this ribosomal RNA (492 nucleotides) under uncultured bacterium. RNAcentral describes it as "partial 16S ribosomal RNA". It matches the Rfam family "Bacterial small subunit ribosomal RNA", at positions 29 to 507 of the family's 1533-position model. The record is from RNAcentral.
AGUGAACGCUGGCGGUAGGCCUAACACAUGCAAGUCGAACGGCAGCACAGUAAGAGCUUGCUCUUACGGGUGGCGAGUGGCGGACGGGUGAGGAAUACAUCGGAAUCUACUUUUUCGUGGGGGAUAACGUAGGGAAACUUACGCUAAUACCGCAUACGACCUACGGGUGAAAGCAGGGGAUCUUCGGACCUUGCGCGAUUGAAUGAGCCGAUGUCGGAUUAGCUAGUUGGCGGGGUAACGGCCCACCAAGGCGACGAUGCGUAGCUGGUCUGAGAGGAUGAUCAGCCACACUGGAACUGAGACACGGUCCAGACUCCUACGGGAGGCAGCAGUGGGGAAUAUUGGACAAUGGGCGCAAGCCUGAUCCAGCCAUACCGCGUGGGUGAAGAAGGCCUUCGGGUUGUAAAGCCCUUUUGUUGGGAAAGAAAAGCAGCAGGUUAAUACCCCGCUGUUCUGACGGUACCCAAAGAAUAAGCACCGGCUAACUUCGUG